UAUUGGAGGGCAAGUCUGGUGCCAGCAGCCGCGGUAAUUCCAGCUCCAAUAGCGUAUAUUAAAGUUGUUGCGGUUAAAACGUUCGUAGUUGAACUUGUGCUUCAUACGGGUAGUACACCUAUAAUUUGGGUUUGUACGUUACCUUAUUGUAUGUAAGCGUAUUACCGGUGGAGUUCUAAUAUAUUAUAAUUUAUUAUGAUAUAUAACUCCUAUUUAAACCUGCUUCAGUGCUCUUUACCGAGUGUUGUUGUGGGCCGGUACAAUUACUUUGAACAAAUUAGAGUGCUUAAAGCAGGCUCCAAAUGCCUGAAUAUUUUGUGCAUGGAAUAAUGGAAUAAGACCUCUGUUCUACUUUCAUUGGUUUUUAGAUCAAGAGGUAAUGAUUAAUAGAAGCAGUUGGGGGCAUUAGUAUUACGACGCGAGAGGUGAAAUUCUUGGACCGUCGUAAGACUAACUUAAGCGAAAGCAUUUGCCAAAGAUGUUUUCAUUAAUCAAGAACGAAAGUUAGAGGUUCGAAGGCGAUCAGAUACCGCCCUAGUUCUAACCAUAAACGAUGCCAGCUAGCAAUUGGGUAUAGCUACUAUUAUGGCUUUCUCAGUCGCUUCCCGGGAAACCAAAGCUUUUGGGCUCCGGGGGAAGUAUGGUUGCAAAGCUGAAACUUAAAGGAAUUGACGGAA
Molecule: ribosomal RNA, 677 nt
Filed under: Empis sp. SNK-2009
Lineage: Eukaryota; Metazoa; Arthropoda; Insecta; Diptera; Empididae
Description: SSU rRNA
Rfam family: Eukaryotic small subunit ribosomal RNA
Source: RNAcentral